This is a non-coding RNA of Mauremys mutica (yellowpond turtle), 2380 nucleotides long. The record is from the annotation of a RefSeq genome assembly. NCBI's taxonomy places the organism in Eukaryota, Metazoa, Chordata, Testudines, Geoemydidae.
AUGCCCUCUGGGGAGCUUUCACUGUUACAGCUGGCCCAAGGUCCCACGUCGUUUUCCCCUUUUGAUGGUUUCUCUUACAUUCUCUUUAUUUUUCCAGCGAACCCCAGACCCCCCUCCAUCUUCCCCCUGGUUCCCUGCUGCCCCAAGACUGGCAAUGCUCCCCUGGACACGAGCUUGGCCUGCCUCGUAACUGGCUAUUUCCCAGCACCAGUGGCCAUCAAGUGGAAUUCGGGCAAAGUGACCCAGGGGGUCACAACUUUCCCAGAGGUGACGAUGAGUGACGGGCUCUUCACCCGGAGCAGCCUGCUGAUCAUCCCUGCUGGGUCCCGGCAGGGCGACACCUACCAGUGUGAUGUGACACAUCAAGGGACACCACAGACCCCGUCGAAGAAGUUCCCUCAGGAGUGGUGUGAUUCGACAACACCACCCCAGGUUCACCUCCUGGUCCCCACCUGCGAGGAGAGCUCCACAGGGAGCCAGCUGGAGCUGGUUUGCCUCCUCCUGAGCUUCAAACCCAACAACACUGACGUGAAAUGGCUGGUGAAUGGAAAGGAGAGCAGCCCCCCCACCCCGGCCUUUUCCCCUGCCAUGGGCACAGACGGCUUCUACAUGGGGCAGAGCCGCAGGAACGUCACCAAGCAGAGCUGGGAGCAGGGGGACGUCUACACCUGUCAAGUGACCCACCCAGCAGUGGGAGCAGAGCUCUCCAUGCACAACACCAGCAAGUGCUUGGCCUGCCUCAGAAGCUCACUUGACCCAACCAUCUACUUAACCAAACCCUCCUAUGAAGACGUCAUCAAACAUUCUGGUCAUGUUACCUGUCUAGUUCUGGGCUAUGACUUAGCAGCCAGCAGAAUCGCAUGGAAAGUGGAUGGGCAGGUCAGCUCUGCGGCGAAGACAGAACCCCCCAAGAAGAACAGCAACGGGACCACCAGCCUGGUCAGUUCUCACCCUGUGUCGCUGGCACAAUGGGGACAAGGCACCAAAUUUACCUGCAAAGUGACCACACCCUGUUCUGGAGAACUAACCGAGGAGAUAACCAUGAGCAAUACAGAAAUCAAUAAGAAGGAGCCCUCAGUCUCCGUCUCCCGAGCCUACCACGAAGACAUCUCUGGGAACAGAGUCUUCUUGACUUUCAUCUGUGAAGCUAGCGGCUUUUACCCAGAAGAGAUCAGCAUCUCAUGGUUGAAGAACAACUCCCCGGAACUCAAGUCGAGUUACAACAAUGGCCCUGUGUCAGAAAGUGGCACUUUCUCUGCCUACAGCAUCCUGAAGGUUGAGCAAAGUCAAGAAGAAGGAAAUUACACCUGCGUAGUGCAUCACCCGGCCAUGGAAGAGCCCAAGAGUGUUGUGGAAAAGGUGUCCCUCGGUGUCAGCAACUGUAAUCGACACCCUCUGGAGGUGUCUCUCCUUCCCCCUUCCCUGGAGGACCUCUACAUAGUGCAGAACGCCACCAUCAGUUGUUUGGUGAGCGGCAUGGAGACCCCCGGCAGCCUGGAGGUCUCCUGGAACCGGGGUAGCGGGGGCCCCUUGGCCGUGGUCUCCAGGGAUCCGGUGCUGCAGGAAGAUGGCACCUACAGUGCAACCAGCAUCCUGCGGGUGUGCGUGGAGGAGUGGCAGGCGGGGGAGGAGUUCACCUGCACCGUGAAGCACCAAGACUUCCCGUCGGCCAUUGUCAAGACCAUCCGCAAAAGUCACAUGGUCUCCCUCCGUGCCCCUUCUGUCUACAUUUCCCCUCCUCACGCUGAGGAACUGGCUCUCCGGGAAUCAGCCACCAUCACCUGCCUGGCCUCUGGCUUCCGGCCCAGAGACAUCUUGGUGACAUGGACCCAGCAGGACCGGCCCGUGCCCCAGGAAGCCUACACCAACAUCGGCCCCGUGCGGGAGGCUGGGAAGGAGGAGCGCUACUUCAUCUACAGCAAGCUCAAUGUCUUGGCGUCCGAAUGGGAGCGGGGGGACACCUAUGCCUGCGUGGUGGGGCACGAGGGUCUGCCCAUGACCUUCAUCCACCGGAGCGUGGACAAAGCCUCCGCUCCUCACUGCGCAGUGGAGGACCAAGGCAUCGAUGCUGAAGGAGGAGAGGAGGAAUCUGACGGUCUCUGGACACCUGUUGCCUUCAUUGCUCUCUUCCUGCUCAGCCUGUUGUACAGCGCCGGCGUCACGCUGCUUAAGGUGCGGUGAGCGCCCAGCUCCGGGCUCCUAGGAGGUGGACAGCACUGCUUCAUCCUCUUCAUUCCCUCCCUCCAUCGUCAGCCCUCCCGGGCUCCUGCCCUCUCUCCGGACACCUGGAGGGACCAUGUUCCACGGCAGCUCAGAGGGCGCCACAACGGCCGCUGAAGGGUCUGAGCUCUGCAGAGCCCAGAGCAGGGAGGGCAGAGUC